AUGCUGACGAGUGGCGAACGGGUGAGUAAUAUAUCGGAACGUGCCCAGUCGUGGGGGAUAACGCAGCGAAAGCUGUGCUAAUACCGCAUACGAUCUAAGGAUGAAAGCGGGGGAUCGCAAGACCUCGCGCGACUGGAGCGGCCGAUAUCAGAUUAGGUAGUUGGUAGGGUAAAGGCCUACCAAGCCAACGAUCUGUAGCUGGUCUGAGAGGGUGACCGGCCACACUGGGACUGAGACACGGCCCAGACUCC
This 251-nucleotide ribosomal RNA is filed under the name uncultured bacterium. RNAcentral's name for it is "partial 16S ribosomal RNA". It matches the Rfam family "Bacterial small subunit ribosomal RNA", at positions 85 to 339 of the family's 1533-position model. The record is from RNAcentral.